This is a non-coding RNA of Gorilla gorilla gorilla (western lowland gorilla), 465 nucleotides long. NCBI's taxonomy places the organism in Eukaryota, Metazoa, Chordata, Mammalia, Primates, Hominidae. The record is from the annotation of a RefSeq genome assembly.
CUCACAAUGAGGCUCCCUGCUCAGCUCCUGGGGCUGCUAAUGCUCUGGGUCCCUGGAUCUAGUGGGGACAUUCUGUUGACCCAGACUCCACUGUCCCUCUCCAUCACCCCUGGAGAGCUGGCCUCCAUCUCCUGCAGGUCUAGUCGGAGCCUCCUGCAUAGUAAUGGAAACACCUAUUUACAUUGAUAGCUGCAGAAGCCAGGCCAGCUUUCACGGUGUCUAAUCUACAAGGUUUCCAACCAGUUUUCUGGGGUCCCAGACAGGUUCAGUGGCAGUGGGUCAGGCAUUGAUUUCACACUGAAAAUCAGCCCGGUGGAGGCUGAGGAUGUUGGGGUUUAUUACUGCAUGCAAGCUACACACUGGUCCCCCACAGUGCUACAUCCUGGAACAGAAACCUCUCUGCUGGGAUUGUCCAGCUGCCCACAUGUGCUGCUUGUCUGGCGAGCAGCUCAGCAGGGUCUCUGA